UACGUAGGGGGCAAGCGUUGUCCGGAAUCCUUGGGCGUAAAGCGCGUGUAGGCGGCUCGAUAAGUCUGCUGUGAAAGUCCAAGGCUCAACCUUGGGAUGCCGGUGGAUACUGUCGAGCUCGAGUCCGGAAGAGGAGUGUGGAAUUCCUGGUGUAGCGGUGAAAUGCGCAGAUAUCAAGUGGAACACCAGUGGCGAAGGCGAGUCCCUGGACAACACCUGACACUGAGGCACGAAAGCUAGGGGAGCAAACAGG
RNAcentral lists this ribosomal RNA (253 nucleotides) under uncultured bacterium. RNAcentral describes it as "partial 16S ribosomal RNA". It matches the Rfam family "Bacterial small subunit ribosomal RNA", at positions 524 to 776 of the family's 1533-position model. The record is from RNAcentral.